GACGCUCCUCCCGGAGAGUAGUGAGACCCCUGGUGCGGCCCGAUUGGUCGCAGGGAUCCUGACUGACAGACACGCUACCCAGUGGGCGCUGUGCGUGGGCCGCGGGGCGGGGCCAGGGCGGGUGCGCGGCGGCGGCGGGGUGGCUGGGCCGGCGGCGGCGGCGGUACGAGGCGCGCGCUCGGGGUCCCGGUCGCGAGGAGGAGGAGGAUGUGGCGCGCGGAGGGGAAAUGGCUGCCGAAAACAAGCCGGAAGAGCGUUUCCCAAAGUGUAUUCUGCGGAACUAGCACCUACUGUGUUCUCAACACCGUGCCACCUAUAGAAGAUGAUCAUGGGAACAGCAAUAGUAGUCAUGUAAAAAUCUUUUUACCGAAAAAGCUGCUUGAAUGUCUGCCGAAAUGUUCAAGUUUACCCAAAGAGAGGCACCGCUGGAACACUAAUGAGAGAUCAUGAUGCAGCCGCCCUUUUGGAUUUCUUUUUAAUAAUGUGUGACCCUUCACCUUUGAUCCCCUGACCUGCAUUACCUUGGGUUGUUGGGAGGAUAAAUGAAACACACUGAGAACUCAGAAGAAAGGUGCUUUUGAAACUGAACCUCACCCUAUGGCUGUGCCGAGAGGCAGUGGUAGUGAACCCCGUGGUGAAGGGCCAGGACCGUGGCUGUGGAGCCAGGCUGCUGAGGUUCCAUCCCCACCUUGGCCUCCUGCAAGUGUUCUGACUGCAGCACAUUACGUAGCCGCCCUAUUCCUGAGUUUACUGCCUCUUUAAUGGGGUGACAGUGAUAGCACCCACUCACAGGAUCAUGGUCUUAAGAUUUUGGUAGCAGAAAGCAAAUGUGCAGAGAGCAAUGGAAACAAGUCAGAAGCUGCUGUCUGAUCCCAGAGAUGUCACAGUGUAUGCACAUGUGAUUUAUGUUGAACACUUUACCCCGAUAGCUCAAGUUGUUCAUUUAGUUGACUAACACCUGGGGGAGCAGGUCAUGAGGACUUUGACCUGCAAAAGGCCCGUGGUGCACUGAGCAUAAUCUGGUGCUGUGGGCCUCGGACUCCACUCAAGCCCUGGACAACACAGUCCUGCGUCCAGUGUGCUGAUGUGAGGGCUGAGAGGCCAAGUGCCCUUCACUCAUGUCUCAGGAGCCUAGUGCUCCUCCCUGCCUGCCUCUCAGUGCUGCCUGCCCUAGCUCCUGAGCCAGGGAGGCUGAGGUCUCUGAGGCUUCCUUUUGUGCUUUGGGGUGGAUUCAGGGUCACAGUGAAAGUCACUGGAAGCUUGUUAAGACCUUACAUUGAUUAGGAAGUGUCCUUGACUUAAGCUGUCAGCAUCUCUUUGAAAUACUGUAUUUUUCUAACCUGGGGAACUGUCCUGUGGUGAGAGUCAGAGGUGCUGGGAGUUAAGUCUUCCUUCUCAGUGCUAUGUGUCACAGACACUCUAGCCAGGUAGCCUCGCAAAGCACUGUCUGCUCUGUCAGUAUGUACUUAGACUCGUUAGUCUGAAUCAGAGAGCUGAUUGUACCCACUGGCUCCCGUGGGACGCCGUGUCAGAACAAACAGAGUGUAGGAGUGUGCUGAACAUGCAGAGUAAGGAUACAAUUCUGUAAAACUAGUUCACUGAGCUUGGACCAUGAUAUCUUUGAACUUUUCAUUUUUAAUUUGAUUCUUUUGUGGUCUCUCAGAGAUAUAGUUUAAUAAAAGUUACACUGUAACAUUGUCAAAAGACAUUUAUAUAAGGCCCAAUUUUGAAUUAUCUUAGGGAAAUAGGUCAUGUGUGUAGAGACACAUGUACAUAUACACACAUGUGUUUAAAAUAUACUUUAGUUGGCCUUUAUUCCUAUGUCCUCUUCUUUCUCUGCCUCUGGAAGUGGGGCACGUUUUCUUCAGUUAAACACAGAAAUAGAAGCGCGUUCUUGACCCAUUUCACACCUGUUCAUUUCAGGCUCUCACCACACACUUGUUCAUGGGCGCAGCAUGAAGAGGGUCCCACAGAGCUGGAGCCAUGAGGGCUGCCACAUGGGAGCAAGCUGUCAGAGCAUAGGGAGAGCUUGCCAUCCUGCCAGCUCUAUAGCUGCUUCAGGGCAGUUCUGUUAGUGAAUUAAUUGUACAUCAAACCCUGGGUUUAUAUGAUCUGAAUGUUACUAACAAUGAACUAGAUUCAAGUGACCUGUUCUUACUUCAUCCAGAGUGACUGUGAAAGUACAGCAGCUGCUUCUCUUGGGGAGCAGCCUGCACCACGGAUGCCCUGUGUCCCUGUUGCCCCCAGCAAACUUUCCUUUCCUUAUUAACACAGCAGUGGCCUGUUUAUGUGCUGAUUAUUGCCUCCCAGAAGAAUGGAAGCUCCUUGAGAGCAGGGCCUGUUGCUGUCUCUGUUUCCAGCACACAGGACAGCUCCUGUUACAUCAAUAAAUGCUGUUCAGUG
Arvicanthis niloticus (Nile rat) is the source of this 2403-nucleotide RNA transcript. It is a transcript of the gene named calmodulin binding transcription activator 1, with no coding region annotated. The record is from RefSeq and is a predicted model, not a curated record. NCBI's taxonomy places the organism in Eukaryota, Metazoa, Chordata, Mammalia, Rodentia, Muridae.